RNAcentral lists this ribosomal RNA (253 nucleotides) under uncultured bacterium. Its description in RNAcentral is "partial 16S ribosomal RNA". It matches the Rfam family "Bacterial small subunit ribosomal RNA", at positions 524 to 776 of the family's 1533-position model. The record is from RNAcentral.
UACGUAGGGGGCAAGCGUUGUCCGGAUUUACUGGGCGUAAAGAGCGUGUAGGCGGACAAGCAGGUCCGUUGUGAAAACUGGAGGCUUAACCUCCAGACGUCGACGGAAACCGCGUGGCUAGAGUCCGGAAGAGGAGAGUGGAAUUCCUGGUGUAGCGGUGAAAUGCGCAGAUAUCAGGAAGAACACCAAUGGCGAAGGCAGCUAUCUGGGAUGGUACUGACGCUGAGACGCGAAAGCGUGGGGAGCGAACAGG